Molecule: ribosomal RNA, 852 nt
Filed under: uncultured crenarchaeote
Lineage: Archaea; Thermoproteati; Thermoproteota
Description: bacterial SSU rRNA
Rfam family: Archaeal small subunit ribosomal RNA
Source: RNAcentral
GGAUAGCCAUGCGAGUUAACGUAGCAAUACGUGGCAUACGGCUCAGUAACACGUAGUCAACAUGCCCAGGGGACGUGGAUAACCUCGGGAAACUGAGGAUAAACCGCGAUAGGCCAAGAUUUCUGGAAUGAAUCAUGGUUUAAAUCUAUAUGGCCCCUGGAUUGGACUGCGGCCGAUCAGGCUGUUGGUGAGGUAAUGGCCCACCAAACCUGUAACCGGUACGGGCUCUGAGAGGAAGAGCCCGGAGAUGGGCACUUAGACAAGGGCCCAGGCCCUAUGGGGCGCAGCAGGCGCGAAACCUCUGCAAUAAGCGAAAGCUUGACAGGGUUACUCUGAGUGAUUUCCGCUAAGGAAGUCUUUUGGCACCUCUAAAAAUGGUGCAGAAUAAGGGGUGGGCAAGUCUGGUGUCAGCCGCCGCGGUAAUACCAGCACCCCGAGUGGUCGGGACGAUUAUUGGGCCCAAAGCAUCCGUAGCCGGUCCUGCAAGUCCUCCGUUAAAUCCACCCGCUCAACGGUUGGGCCGCGGGGGAUACUACAGGGCUAGGAGGCGGGAGAGGCAAGCGGUACUCGAUGGGUAGGGGUAAAAUCCACUGAUCCAUUGAAGACCACCAGUGGCGAAGGCGGCUUGCCAGAACGCGCUCGACGGUGAGGGAUGAAAGCUGGGGGAGCAAACCGGAUUAGAUACCCGGGUAGUCCCAGCUGUAAACGAUGCAGACUCGGUGAUGGGCUGGCUUCGUGCCAACCCGGUGCCGCAGGGAAGCCGUUAAGUCUGCCGCCUGGGGAGUACGGUCGCAAGACUGAAACUUAAAGGAAUUGGCGAGGGAGCACCACAAGGGGUGAAGCCUGCGGUUC